AGCGGCGGACGGGUGAGUAAUGCCUAGGAAUCUGCCUGGUAGUGGGGGAUAACGUUCGGAAACGGACGCUAAUACCGCAUACGUCCUACGGGAGAAAGCAGGGGACCUUCGGGCCUUGCGCUAUCAGAUGAGCCUAGGUCGGAUUAGCUAGUUGGUGGGGUAAUGGCUCACCAAGGCGACGAUCCGUAACUGGUCUGAGAGGAUGAUCAGUCACACUGGAACUGAGACACGGUCCAGACUCCUACGGGAGGCAGCAGUGGGGAAUAUUGGACAAUGGGCGAAAGCCUGAUCCAGCCAUGCCGCGUGUGUGAAGAAGGUCUUCGGAUUGUAAAGCACUUUAAGUUGGGAGGAAGGGCAGUAAAUUAAUACUUUGCUGUUUUGACGUUACCGACAGAAUAAGCACCGGCUAACUCUGUGCCAGCAGCCGCGGUAAUACAGAGGGUGCAAGCGUUAAUCGGAAUUACUGGGCGUAAAGCGCGCGUAGGUGGUUCGUUAAGUUGGAUGUGAAAUCCCCGGGCUCAACCUGGGAACUGCAUUCAAAACUGACGAGCUAGAGUAUGGUAGAGGGUGGUGGAAUUUCCUGUGUAGCGGUGAAAUGCGUAGAUAUAGGAAGGAACACCAGUGGCGAAGGCGACCACCUGGACUGAUACUGACACUGAGGUGCGAAAGCGUGAGGAGCAAACAGGAUUAGAUACCCUGGUAGUCCACGCCGUAAACGAUGUCAACUAGCCGU
RNAcentral lists this ribosomal RNA (733 nucleotides) under uncultured bacterium. RNAcentral describes it as "bacterial SSU rRNA". It matches the Rfam family "Bacterial small subunit ribosomal RNA", at positions 94 to 823 of the family's 1533-position model. The record is from RNAcentral.